Molecule: long non-coding RNA, 334 nt
Filed under: Theobroma cacao (cacao)
Lineage: Eukaryota; Viridiplantae; Streptophyta; Magnoliopsida; Malvales; Malvaceae
Description: long non-coding RNA (TCAC_LNC004355)
Source: RNAcentral
UACUCCGUCAAGCCCUUGGUGAAAGGAUCAGGCCUGUCUUGACUGUUAACAAGAUGGACAGGUGCUUCCUUGAGCUUCAGGUUGAUGGUGAGGAGGCUUACCAGACAUUCCAGAGAGUGAUUGAAAAUGCUAAUGUCAUCAUGGCUACCUAUGAAGAUCCUCUUCUUGGUGAUGUUCAAGUCUACCCUGAGAAAGGAACAGUUGCCUUCUCUGCUGGUUUGCAUGGUUGGGCUUUUACACUGACCAACUUUGCUAAGAUGUAUGCCUCAAAGUUUGGAGUUGAUGAGUCGAAAAUGAUGGAAAGACUUUGGGGUGAGAACUUUUUUGAUCCAGC